RNAcentral lists this ribosomal RNA (602 nucleotides) under uncultured sulfate-reducing bacterium. Its description in RNAcentral is "bacterial SSU rRNA". It matches the Rfam family "Bacterial small subunit ribosomal RNA", at positions 224 to 827 of the family's 1533-position model. The record is from RNAcentral.
GAUGGGCACGCGUUCAUAAGCUAUUGGUGAGGACAGCUCUCAAGACAAGAUGGGUAGCCGCCUUUAGGGGUGACCGCCCCCACUGGGUAGAGAUACGGCCCAGAUUCUUAUGGGGGCACCGUUGGAGAGGUUUCCCAAUGGGGGGAACCCUGUUGAAGGACCCCGCGUUGGUGAUGAAAGUUUUUGGAUUGUAAAACCCUUUUGGCAGGGACGAGCGGAUUGUUUGUUAAUAACUUUCAAUUUUCGACGGUACCUGCACAAGAAGCUCCGGCUAACUCCGUGCCAGCAGCCGCGGUAAGACGGGGGGAGCAAGCGUUGUUCGGAUUUACUGGGCGUAAAGGGCGUCUAGGCGGAUUAGUAAGUCAGGUGUGAAAUCCUCCGGCUCAACCGGAGAACUGCACUUGAUACUGCUGGUCUUGAGUACGGAAGAGGGAAGCGGAAUUCCUGGUGUAGCGGUGAAAUGCGUAGAUAUCAGGAAGAACACCGGUGGCGAAGGCGGCUUCCUGGUCCGUUACUGACGCUGAAGCGCGAAAGUGUGGGGAGCAAACAGGAUUAGAUACCCUGGUAGUCCACACUGUAAACGAUGAACACUAGGUGCCGGG